RNAcentral lists this ribosomal RNA (468 nucleotides) under uncultured bacterium. RNAcentral's name for it is "partial 16S ribosomal RNA". It matches the Rfam family "Bacterial small subunit ribosomal RNA", at positions 28 to 507 of the family's 1533-position model. The record is from RNAcentral.
GACGAACGCUGGCGGCGUGCUUAACACAUGCAAGUCGAACGGAAAGGCCCUGCUUUUGUGUGGUGCUCGAGUGGCGAACGGGUGAGUAACACGUGAGUAACCUUCCCUUUACUUUGUGAUAACUUCAGGAAACUGGUGCUAAUACCGGAUAGGAGCUCCUGCUGCAUGGUGGGGGUUGGAAAGUUUCGGCGGUUGGGGAUGGACUCGCGGCUUAUCAGCUUGUUGGUGGGGUAGUGGCUUACCAAGGCUUCGACGGGUAGCCGGCCUGAGAGGGUGACCGGCCACAUGGGGACUGAGGUAGGGCCCAGACUGCUACGGGAGGCAGCAGUGGGGAAUAUUGCACAAUGGGCGGAAGCCUGAUGAAGCAACGCCGCGUGCGGGAUGACGGCCUUCGGGUUGUAAACCGCUUUAGCCUGUGACGAAGCGUGAGUGACGGUAAUGGGUAAAGAAGCACCGGCUAACUACGUG